This 1141-nucleotide long non-coding RNA is filed under the name Sus scrofa (pig). RNAcentral describes it as "lncRNA (ENSSSCG00060073290.1)". The record is from RNAcentral. Lineage: Eukaryota; Metazoa; Chordata; Mammalia; Artiodactyla; Suidae.
AUGUUUGUGCCAAACAGAAACAUUUUUGGAAAACAGAUGUCUUUUUUUGGAGCGCCAUUAAAAUAUUCUCAAUUUCCUAUCCCGUGCGUGUGUGCACACACAGCCUCCCACGACUGGCCAAAGAAGUUCUGGGUCAACGUUCUGAGCAUCAUGCCUCACUGGGCAGGGAAAUACAAGUCAAAGUACCACAAAACGUUUGUGCCAGGAAGUCAGCCAGCACCUCACAAGAAGCCUUCAAUUGCAAGCCGUGGAAGCACAAUUCAAUUUGGAUGGAACCAAGUAAUGUCGUCGGUUGACUAAUCCUUUGAUUCAAAAGAGUUACAAGGGUCCAGUAAGGGCAAAGCACUUUGGGGGUCCCUUGAGAGACAGGCCCAUUCGCUGCCCUCAGCAAGCUCAAGUCACAUGGAGAAUUCCGCAAGUCACUGUGGUUCUCUUUCUUUUCGGAAUGGAAAUACAGAGAAGAAUACAUUUGGAGCAAAGAAUGGACUGCAUCCUUUACGAAACAAAUGAAGGCACCUGAAUAAUUGCAUUGCAGCCUCAGCAGUGCAAGUGGUACCAUAUGGCCGUUUUAAAGUGGUGGGCCCUCCUUUAUAGAAGAUCCAAACCCACUUCAGGACUUAAAAAGCAAAAGUGCAUUAUCUACGGUGCAAAAGGCCACAGAAGAAUAUGAAAUGCAGGCAAGCCUCCCGCAAGCCCAGCUGCUGUCUGCUCCACCUUCCUAAAUGCUCAUGGGCUGAGUUGACCUAGAGAUGACCACUCUUCUGUCAUCGCCCAUCUGGUUCUGCCCACGGGAGUGCUUGAUGCUGCCUGGUCUCAGCAGAUAAGAUGACCUGACUUGGUCAUUCUACACCGUCUUGCAUCCGAAAAGCUGGGGAGAGUGAGUGUGAGCAGUGGGGCAGCCUGUGUCCUGCCUCCUGGAAGGACUAGUUUUCUUGUCGCUGAUGAAUAAGAUCAUCUGUGUACACACUGGGGACUGAAGCUGUAGAUAACUGAGCAGAGCUGACCUGCCUGACAGCCUUGUCCCUGACCACGACAAACUCUGACGUUCCAGUAUAUGUAUGUCAGGAAAGACAAAAUGUUUCUGCCACAGAGUUUAAGCUGAGUGAAUAAAAAUGGAGUGAGCAGAGGAUGGAUGAAGGUA